RNAcentral lists this long non-coding RNA (7664 nucleotides) under Ooceraea biroi (clonal raider ant). RNAcentral's name for it is "uncharacterized LOC105277955". The record is from RNAcentral. Lineage: Eukaryota; Metazoa; Arthropoda; Insecta; Hymenoptera; Formicidae.
AAAUCUUCUUAGACGGUAGCAACUUUGAAUUGACGCAGUACUAAGAUAGCAUUAUUUAACGACGCGCGACGUCUAUUUUACGGCGUAUAUGGCAAUGAUAGAUAUCUCGGUUUAUUAGUAAUUGUACGGUCUUAUUCGUGAGUUGUAUAAUCUUUAAAUCUUUCUCUUUCGUUCUCGCAAUUGAAUAGAUAGAAACUAAGCACGACAAUAACAAUCUAAUGAAUGUAAACUAAUGAAAGUAAUUAAUAAAAAGAAUGAACAUAAUAAUCGCGAAAUCUUCUGUUAUGUAAGAAUCUUGUAGAUGCUAUUUUACAUGACCUUUUAUUUACUGUAGACUAUAACCGUUCGCAAGUCACUUCGGAAUUUAUUUUUAUCGUGAUAUUAUCUGCUUCGAUGGCGCGCUUUUAACUUCUUGGAGGAAGAGAGACACGCGACGAUAGAUAUCGUAAGCCGAUAUCCCAGCAGUGAGUUCGCUGAUGGUGUUCCGCGAGUACUCGUGACAUUUUAAUAUUUCCAGUAUGAAAGGGAUUAUCACGCGUAAGAAGUAACGAUGUAAACGCGCGGAAGGGCGAGUUUACAUCGUUUAACGACUAGGUGACGAGGAAGCGGAGAAAGUAACAAGAGAGAGAAAGAGGGAAGCCCAUGUGAAAGAGCAAGCAAGUCCGGGCUGCACCGAGUUUGUCUAAUGACUUGUUGCCAACGAAGCUGCCGUAACGAGGUCAUCGAUAAGUGGCAGCGGGUGUCGUAUCCCUGCGUGAGCUAGCCGUUUCGAAGGGAUGGUCGAGAUUACUUACAGCACGGCGGCAGCAAGGACUUAAUCCAAUGCCGACGUUGGUGAUAGCAGUCAGAAGGCAACUGACAGAAGGAGAUGAUCUAAAUGAAAAGAAAGGAGAACAGGAGCAGAGAUGGCAAUCAACAUAGAAAGAGAUAAAAGUACAGGAAAGAUUUCAAUAAAUUUCAGAAAAGCGACAAGAAAAGUCAUGCUGAAAAGAUACUGACAUUCCAUCACAAAAAUAGGGAUAAAAAAUAGGCAGAGUCUAUUUAAAAAAAGUUACAGCUCGCGUGUGUCCCCGAUUUGGCAUCGCCUGCUUGUUCGUUUUCGAUGGUUUGCGAAUGCCGCGAAUUGAUGGCAGGAUGAAUCAGCGACUCCAUGGCAAUCGUGGUAACUGCAGGGUGAGACGGGACAAAUACCGGACAGAAUACCGUAGAAAUGUAUUUCGAAGAUAAAAUACUCUGAAAAAUAUAUUCGAAGUAAAAAACUGUAGAAUAUUCCAUUUCUCUUUUUAUUUCUCUCUGCUGUUGAAGGUGUACUUUAUCAAGUGCAGAUAUGUUUGGCAGACUUGAUUUUUUAAAUUUUAUUCAGGAUGUUAGGGAUACAAAACUUAUAUUUUGCAUUACAAAUAUCCGUUCGGUUUGACGUACUGCUCGAUAUUGUGGGGUGGCUCACGAGGCGGUAGGCUGAUCCUAUAAGUGUUGUUCGCGUUCAUCGGGAAACGACGGCGGCGCUGGCAUUUCAGGAGGGUGGUUGCGAGCUUUAAUAAGGGCUGCCGAAUUUCACACUGACUUGGCGGAGCCGGGCCGGAGGGGUAGGUUUUUCGCGGCGGCGAAGCCACCCCUGAGGAGCGAUCCGCCGAUGGACCGAGGGGUGAGUCGGUGUGCGGUGGGCCGGCAGGAAGGGAAAAAGAUUCGGAGGGAUGGCGAAAUGGAAGGGAGGCGUGCGGCUGAUCGGCUCGAAUAAAGUUUGGGUCGCGCGCGCUCGCCCGCUCGCGCGCACGCACACGUUCGCGCGUAUACGACGGCGGCGAGCUAAGCGAUCGACAGCCGGAUUAUUGGAGUAUUAGAACUUGUCUCAUAACUCACGGACCUAAUGGCCUCCGACCCGGCGAUUCGGGCGCUGCGCUGCGUAUUGCCUUUGACGCGACGGAGGAUAUAUGUCGGCCCGCCGCUCUGCACUUUGUCCGCCGCGAACGCGCUCCUAUUUUUGCGCCUCGCUGUUUUUUGGCCGUCCGAGAAUAAACGAUCGCGCCAGACUUUUGGCUCUCCUUUUGGCUGACGGUAUAUGUUUUCCAAGCUUCUCUUCAUUUUUCUUUGUAGGAAAGUCGAAAUUAUAUCUGAAAUUGACAACGUCAAAUCGAAGAUUGUCGAAUGAUUUAUGGAGAAUGGGAUACUCGCAUAUCAAACGGCUCCGUUGUCAGGAAUAAGCUCGCGUCAAGAAUUGAAAAACGAGGGAAAAACUCGCGCAAAAAUCAGGGACUCGCGAACCGAGAUUCGUCUCGCAAGAGAGACGUGGCUCCGGUCAGGAAAGCGAACAGCUGCGGCCGAGCGAGCGAGCGAGCACGCCGGCUCGCGUCCGGGAGAGCGCGUCAGGCGGUGCUCGCAACAGGAUUGUUUUAAUGCCAUUUAAACUAAUCGAAUUAGAGAACGAACCGAUGUGACGAUACGGUACGAUAAAAAAAGGGGGAUGAUGCCGCGCGGCAGGGAGGACACGGGGGCGGCACGCGGGGAGAAUGGCAGUGACUCGGUUACGGGAUGGCGAGGGGGUAUGUGCGGGGUGGAGGGGAACGGAUGGGCACGCAAAAGGGGCGCGUGGAUGUGCAACAACAACCACCCUCCUCUCUCCUUCCCGCCCCCCGGCCCUCCUGCAAACUCCGCAGCUGCCAGGCGCAGCGCCCACUCGACCGGAAGUAACGCGACUACUGCCUACAACACGUCUCCGUCUCGCUCUCCCGCUGUCUAUCUCGCUGCUGCCACCCUCCUUCGCUCGCCCAUGCACUCUCGCUGUUUCUCGCAGUCGCCGCUCUCUCCCUCGUGCUCAUCAUCACCCGCCGCCGACUCGCGCACCCCUCCACCACUGUCAUUUACAUGCGUACACACUCGGGGGUUGCCGCGCGUCUCCCUUUCUUCCACCUCGUCUCUCUUUCGCUCUCUUGCACUCUUUCUCGCUCGGUCUCCGUCUGUCGUCGCGGCUGACUCCGCGCGCGCGGGAACACGAGCGGAGCGCGUUUCGCAGCAGCGAGUGCGGAAGCGAUGCGCUCCGCGGCUCUCUUCCGCGUUGUGGAGACCACCCCGGAGAAACGCGACCUCGCGACGCCCGACGUCAACGCCGGCCACGGUGUCCUGACACACGCCAUUCGGAGGGAUGCGAGCUACACACUAGAAUUUUUUUAGCGCGACCGGACAUGAACUCUGAUAAUUUUAUAUUUCUGUAAAAUCGAUCUCCUUAGUCCAAUCAGAGGUCCAUUUUGUCAAACCCUCGAGAUUGAAACGAGGAGUGUUUUUGCACGCGAUCGUUGCAUCCGGUGAAUGAAUGCGUGAUUCGACACGCGCGUAAACGCAAUAUUUUAGAAGACUCAUCGUCCGCACGUCGCUUCCUGCAGCGAACGAAACGCACUCGCAUCGAAUCGGAUUUCUUCUGGAUCGACAACCUCGCACGUGCUUAUCGAAUGCGCGUCGCCUACAAAGACAACACGGACGUGCAAUAGUCAUAAAUCGCGCAUUACCAUAUCUUACACAUGCGAAUAAAUAAAUAAUUAGUCCCAUAGAUGCGCGAAAGAAAUACAAGAAUGAUUGUUUAAACGUGUUGCUAAAUGUUCUGCAGAUUGAAGGGGCAGUUUUCUCCUUUCGCUUGGAUAUGAUUAAUUUAUUACGUUAUUACGGCGAAUUUACGAAUAAAAUCGUGCACCAUUGUGCAUCGUAAUGAAGAGAAAUAAUGACGUAUUUUCCGCUAUGAGAAAAUCGAUUGUUAAUGCUCAAUACGCCAAUAAAAGGUGUCAAAACAGUGCGACCUGCCGCGCUGCAAUGAGUGCCGCAAUGUAAUACCUGCACUUAAACGACAAAUUAAACUGCGCCGAGACACCCCAGCGUAUAUCGGGUAUGUGUAGUAUGCCUGUUGCCUAUUACAGGUCUCCCCUUUGUCCUCCCUCUUUACCUGUUCUCCACGUCAGUAAAUUACGCACACCCUCUUCUCUCAUUAAUGCACUCAAAAGGCACUCCCAUGCCACGUACUCGUCCGUUUGAAAGCACGAUUAUUUGAUGAUGUUGUAACGAACGUAAAUAAAACGUAUGGUUAUGAAAUGCCUCGUCGUGAUGUUACGUGAUGAUUAGCAAGAUAGUGUCGCGCACAAAACGCAGCCAUCAGAAUUGCGGUAAUAAAGUUGCAAUUCAUUACCGUGAUUAUUUAGCCGCAAUAUAAAAGCAGUAAACAUGCGUAAAAUUACGAAUGCAUCAAAGAAUAAGCAAAUUGUAAACGAGUUGCGCGUUCUUCCUGCAUCUUUUCCUUUUCUCUAAAAAUCCGUGCGACAUGCUCAUCGUUAGAUCGAGAAACGAAGAUCUAGCAGCUCCUCAAGCGAAGCGAUUUCCCAAUUAAAAAUCCUGCCGAUUAGCGGUCCUCGUUGCGGACUACGCGUGCAAUCUCGACAUCCAGGACUCGCGCGACGCUGAUCUCGCGAACGAGAAAUGUGCCGCGCGGCAGGAAACGCCGAGCGCGGGAGCGUAAAAAUCGCGGGCACGUCGCGUCGCACGCGCGCCGCGUGCACCCCCACGCGCAUGGGAUCUCGCGCCGAUCCAACCCUCCACGAAGAGCAUCCUGCGAGAGCGACCGGUAGCAACCCUCCUGUCGACGUCGCUCCGCCCCCUGCCACCACUCUCGCUGCACCCGGAUAGUCGCUCGACGCGCAUAGUCGCCUAUGGGGUUGCAGCGCUCUCACUGAUGCAACGCCAUCGGGAUCCGUUGGCAUCCCUUUUCACUCCGUGCAACCCUUCAACGAGAUGCGCUCGACCGUCCGUCCGUCCGUCCGUCCGUCCGUCCGUCUGUCUGUCUGUCCAUCUAUCCGUCCAUCCGUCCUGCAUCCCUCUCAACGAUCCACAUUCCGCGCCAUCCAUCUCAUCCGCCGCGGCAGCUGUUGCGGACUCGUCGUCUCGAAAUCGACGAUACUAACUUUUUGCGAAUGCUUCUCUUCUCACCCUCUCGCUUUUUGUUUCUCUCUCUCUUUUCUCUCUCAUCACUCCUCGUGAAACUUUUAACUCCCAUUUGUAACUUCCAUUUUCCCGGCACCGCGAUGCUGCUCCUUUGUUUACCAGGUCGCGUAACACGACAAGGCGCCGUUUAGAUUUUUAUAAUACGCAGAUACGAGUGGAUGAAGAGACACAUCGAGCCUCUCUCUUUCAUCACCCAUCUUGUUCGUCUGGUCUGGUCUGACCUGACGCGCUUACCGUGAUUAAAAGUUGCUCUCUAUGUCGCAUUUAAUCGACAGCAGGCUGUUGCGUAAGAUGUAUAAGAAGCAUUAAAAGUCAUAUUGUAAACAGUAACAAUCAUCGUAGCGCUAUAUUGUCAUACUUGCACGAUGAAUGCGUAGACUUUUGUAGAUCAGCUUUCAGCUGCUUCCAGGCUUAUUCUUCUUUUCGCUAAAUAUUCUCAUAGUUAUACGAGACGUUAUUUUUCUUCGUUCAUUAUUAAAAGAAGAAAUAAGGGAUGGAAAAGCAGAAACAGUUAAUAAAACGACGUUAAAUUAAAUGACAUGAAACGUUUUUAUUAAUCUGUACGUUAUCGGAUUUUACACAAUCUCGUUAAUAAGUAUAAUUUCUCGCGAUAUUCGUUUUCUGUUUUCCGAUAUGCGAUUUCCCCGCUUUCACAUCCUACAUUGUUCAUCUAAUACAUUAGCGAAUUCUCGACGCAUCUCCAUGAGUCGGCUCUUCCGUCUGAUGCUAAUUCGGUCGAGGUAUUAAUUUGCAUAUUGCUGAGGUAUGUUUUUGAGCUUUAGAUUUUCACGUUUCUAUAUAUCCAUGGUACAUCGGUAGUAUAUUGAUAAGAAAUUAUCCUCAAGAUUAUAUAAAGAUCACUUUAAAUCAUCAUAACAUAAAUCCUAUAUAAUACAAUAGUUUAAUCGCGCGAUUUACAUUUAAUAAAUAGUUACACUCUUCUUAUGCAUUAAAAUGGACUACGUGAACAUAUAUAUAGAUAAACGCAACUCUCACGCCUGCGAGUAUCACAACGCCGACUAAUCAAAUCACCAGGAUAACUAUGGGCAGACUGUAGUCCUUUCUCGCGGAUCUUCUUGGCGGAGAAGUACAAACGAUAUCUAAAUGCUCUUCUUUCGCUCUUUUCUGUUUCCUGCUUUCAUUAUGAUUCACGAUGAAGAAGACAUCGACUUUAAACCUUGAACGAACAGGCAGCCUUCAGACCCUGCCGCCACGAAUCUCCUUUCAUUAGUUGGAGUGGGAGACCAUCCAGCCAGCUAGCCAGUCAGUCAGUCAAACCAACCAACCAACCAACCAGCCAGCCAACCUACCUAUCUGCCAACUAACCAUACAUCCAACCACCACAACGACCUACCCAGCACCACCACUACCGCCAUCACCGCCACCACUACUAGCAUCAUCGCGAAUGAGCCGAUGAAACCUCCUCCGUGAUCCGCUCUCGUUCGCGGUGGCGGCCGUCUCCUGAUCUCGCGUGCGGUUGACUCGUUUUCAAUGAAUACAAUGCCGCGGCAGAUCAUAUCGGAUAUGAAAACGGGAAAUCAACGAGUGCUUCAGCCAGGGAUGGCUGAAGCUGAACUCGCUCGACGCCGCGCUCGAACCGAGUCGGGAUUCCCGCCGGGUCUCGCUUUGUCGAAUUAACCGGGAAUGAUGGUCCGAAAGGUGAGGCGAGGGAGAAGGUAUGAAGUAUCGAUAUCGCGCUCAAGCAUCAGGGGACUCGCCGGAGAUCACGAUAAUACGACGUGGUACAAUGGAACGCGGCUUGCUCGCUCGCUCGAUGCACGCAUGGCUCUUUGUGUCGCGAUCUUUUGUGUCCGCAGAUCUCGAAGGUUUUGCAUCGGAAGCAAAUAUAUUUGCGCGCCGACGCGGGACCAAUCUCGUUGACAUCAGCUUAUUGACAUUAGCUUCGACUUUCCGGUUCAAGUAGUUCUUCUACUUCCGGCUCGAAUUCUCGAGAAAGCUAGUGCAUCGAUUAUUAACCAUUUACUUAGAUUACGCUUCGUACCCCCGGGGGGCUCGCGUUGAGCCCACUUCGUUUGGGCGAACCACUCUCCGUUGUUUCCAAAGCACGAGCAAACUAUGCGCUUUAUCCCCUAAGCAACUACCAGUGCUUUUAACCCACUUACAGCCCCAAUGCGCCAUAGAUAGAUAUAUUCACGGCCAAAGUCCGUCGAGUCGAUUAAUCCGAGUCCCGAUGGCGGCUCGUCGACUGUUAUAUUCAGUCACGAUCGGAAGAUUAUGCGAACGCGCGAGUCAGUGCACGCCUUUCCGCGUACGCAAAGUAAUUUACUCGCACGAACGAGUGUGCAAAAGAUGUAUGCAUGUUAAUAAAAAAAUUCUAUUAACCGGAGGUGUAUCGGAUACCGGAGUCCUUCGCGUCAUUUCACCACGCAUCUUCGUACGUAAUAUGCACGCCAUAUAGGUAUAUAGAUACGGAGAGCUAUAAGAGGAGCGUAUUCUCGUAAUACGGCGUCGAGAGCAAAGGAUGAUAACCUUCUGCAUCAGGCUUCCUGAUAUAUUUUUUUUCUUUUACUGCAAGCGGCUAAUUAUAUUGAUAUCGAGGUGUACCGACAUGGUGAUCAAAUAACUUUUAUUCUCGAUCGAAGUUGAAUCCAAAUAUUUUCUAGAUUUAUCCAAUGCGAUGUAAAAAUGUGAUAAACAGAGGCCACUUUUACAUUUCACGUUUCUCG